AAUUGCCUUUAAUAAUUUUAAACAUAUUUAAUGACAAAAUUGGUUAAGUUUUAAGAGCAUAACAAUAAAUGGACAGCAAGGGUUACAAAUCUUAACAGCUGAACAUGUUAAACUUAUUGCAAUGAUUAAUGAUUUAUCAUCAGAGAUUGAAUCCAGUGCAAUUUUGGAAAAAUCCCGUCUGCUGAUUGAAGAAAAAAUCAAACGACUUGAAUGUAAUUAAAUAAUUUUGUCAUAUUGGAAUGUUAUUAAUGUAAAUAUUUUAGAUGAAGACAUUGAUGAAUUUCAACUAAAUGAAAACGCAGGAAUACUUACAACACAUUUUAAAAAUACUGAUGAAUCAGAUACUGACAUAAUGGUAAAUAAUUUAAUUCCAAGGAGAAUGUGAUUUAUCAAAUAAUAAUUGUUAUACAUUCAUAUUAUUUUAGUCUCUUAUUUCAAUGCCUUCAAUCAGACAAAAAGAAAUCAAUAAAGUUAGUGAAGAAAUAAUGGAACUGAUUAACAAACCAACGGUUAAAGAAAUAUCUCUUGCAGAAAAAUUCCAAUCCAAAGGAGGUAAGCAAUUUUUUGAUUGUGUUAUUGUAAGAAUAUUAAAGUUUCUAAUUUUUUAUUAUAGGAACACAUGUUAUGCAAUUUUGUCCUCAUGGUACACGAGCUGACUGCAUGGAGGGACAUGUUUGUAAUAAACUUCAUUUUAAAAAAAUUAUCCAAAAACAUACUGACGAAGCUUUAGGUGAUUGUUCUUUUUUAAACACUUGUUUCCACAUGGAUUCUUGUAAGUAAGUGUUGAAACAUUUUAU
Cinara cedri is the source of this 797-nucleotide non-coding RNA. The record is from the annotation of a GenBank genome assembly. NCBI's taxonomy places the organism in Eukaryota, Metazoa, Arthropoda, Insecta, Hemiptera, Aphididae.